GGCUCAGAUUGAACGCUGGCGGCAUGCCUUACACAUGCAAGUCGAACGGCAGCACGGGAGCUUGCUCCUGGUGGCGAGUGGCGAACGGGUGAGUAAUACAUCGGAACGUACCCUGAAGUGGGGGAUAACGUAGCGAAAGUUACGCUAAUACCGCAUAUUCUGUGAGCAGGAAAGAGGGGGAUCGCAAGACCUCUUGCUUUAGGAGCGGCCGAUGUCGGAUUAGCUAGUUGGUGAGGUAAAGGCUCACCAAGGCGACGAUCCGUAGCGGGUCUGAGAGGAUGAUCCGCCACACUGGGACUGAGACACGGCCCAGACUCCUACGGGAGGCAGCAGUGGGGAAUUUUGGACAAUGGGCGCAAGCCUGAUCUAGCCAUGCCGCGUGAGUGAAGAAGGCCUUCGGGUUGUAAAGCUCUUUCGGUGGGGAAGAAAUUGCACAGGAUAAUACCUUGUGUAGAUGACGGUACCCGCAUAAGAAGCACCGGCUAACUACGUG
Molecule: ribosomal RNA, 493 nt
Filed under: uncultured bacterium
Lineage: Bacteria
Description: bacterial SSU rRNA
Rfam family: Bacterial small subunit ribosomal RNA
Source: RNAcentral